Amblyraja radiata (thorny skate) is the source of this 91-nucleotide long non-coding RNA. RefSeq lists it as uncharacterized. Lineage: Eukaryota; Metazoa; Chordata; Chondrichthyes; Rajiformes; Rajidae. The transcript has 3 exons. The record is from RefSeq and is a predicted model, not a curated record.
UAAGUCGAAGAUAGACACAAAAUGCUGGAGUAACUCAGCGGGUCAGACCGCAUCGCUGGAGAAGAGGAACGGGUGACGUUUCAGGUUGUGA